UGGGAAUAUUGGACAAUGGGCGAAAGCCUGAUCCAGCAAUGCCGCGUGUGUGAAGAAGGUCUUCGGAUUGUAAAGCACUUUCGACGGGGACGAUGAUGACGGUACCCGUAGAAGAAGCCCCGGCUAACUUCGUGCCAG
RNAcentral lists this ribosomal RNA (138 nucleotides) under uncultured bacterium. RNAcentral describes it as "partial 16S ribosomal RNA". It matches the Rfam family "Bacterial small subunit ribosomal RNA", at positions 356 to 511 of the family's 1533-position model. The record is from RNAcentral.